UUAUCCCUUUAGCAUUAAGCUCCAACCCAUGUGACAUACCUACUGUUGCUUCGGCGGGAUUGCCCCGGGCGCCUCGUGUGCCCCGGAUCAGGCGCCCGCCUAGGAACCUUAACUCUUGUUUUAUUUUGGAAUCUUCUGAGUAGUUUUUACAAAUAAAUAAAAACUUUCAACAACGGAUCUCUUGGUUCUGGCAUCGAUGAAGAACGCAGCGAAAUGCGAUAAGUAAUGUGAAUUGCAGAAUUCAGUGAAUCAUCGAAUCUUUGAACGCACAUUGCGCCCGCCAGUAUUCUGGCGGGCAUGCCUGUCUGAGCGUCAUUUCAACCCUCAUGCCCCUAGGGCGUGGUGUUGGGGAUCGGCCAAAGCCCGCGAGGGACGGCCGGCCCCUAAAUCUAGUGGCGGACCCGUCGUGGCCUCCUCUGCGAAGUAGUGAUAUUCCGCAUCGGAGAGCGACGAGCCCCUGCCGUUAAACCCCCAACUUUCCAAGGUUGACCUCAGAUCAGGUAGGAAUACCCGCUGAACUUAAGCAUAUCAAAAGGCCGGGAGAAAA
Molecule: ribosomal RNA, 547 nt
Filed under: Clonostachys rosea
Lineage: Eukaryota; Fungi; Ascomycota; Sordariomycetes; Hypocreales; Bionectriaceae
Description: eukaryotic LSU rRNA
Rfam family: 5.8S ribosomal RNA (bases 162-315)
Source: RNAcentral